Molecule: ribosomal RNA, 162 nt
Filed under: uncultured bacterium
Lineage: Bacteria
Description: partial 16S rRNA
Rfam family: Bacterial small subunit ribosomal RNA
Source: RNAcentral
GGAAUCUUCCACAAUGGACGCAAGUCUGAUGGAGCAACGCCGCGUGAGUGAAGAAGGUCUUCGGAUCGUAAAACUCUGUUGUUAGAGAAGAACGUGUGUGAGAGUGGAAAGUUCACACAGUGACGGUAACUUACCAGAAAGGGACGGCUAACUACGUGCCAG